RNAcentral lists this ribosomal RNA (372 nucleotides) under uncultured organism. Its description in RNAcentral is "bacterial SSU rRNA". It matches the Rfam family "Bacterial small subunit ribosomal RNA", at positions 526 to 896 of the family's 1533-position model. The record is from RNAcentral.
CGUAGGGUGCGAGCGUUAAUCGGAAUUACUGGGCGUAAAGCGUGCGCAGGCGGUUUAGUAAGACAGGCGUGAAAUCCCCGGGCUCAACCUGGGAACUGCGCUUGUGACUGCUAAGCUAGAGUACGGCAGAGGGGGGUGGAAUUCCACGUGUAGCAGUGAAAUGCGUAGAGAUGUGGAGGAACACCAAUGGCGAAGGCAGCCCCCUGGGUCGAUACUGACGCUCAUGCACGAAAGCGUGGGUAGCAAACAGGAUUAGAUACCCUGGUAGUCCACGCCCUAAACGAUGUCAACUAGGUGUUGGGAGGGUAAAACCUUUUAGUACCGGAGCUAACGCGUGAAGUUGACCGCCUGGGGAGUACGGCCGCAAAGUUA